UACCAUGUAUUUACCCAUGUAUAUAAAAAAAAAGCAGGUACCCCGUGCAGAUGCGGCUACUGUUGUGGGUGGGUAGUUGAAAAGGUAUAGGAUCGUAGUUGUUUAAUUUAUACCUGUUAGCAACGAUAAGCCAUUGCUAACAAAAAACGAUUCUGAGGGAAGAAAAAAUCUAAAAUAAAAUAAAUAAAAAAAACGGUGAGUUUUCACGAUGAUUGUUUAAAAAAGAUUAAAAUAAUAAAUUUAUCCUUCACUUCACUUAGAAUCUAAAAUAUAACAGUGAUUUUUAUGUAUAUUUUUUGUGGGUUUAAUUUAAAAGUUUAGAUAGGGACCUACAAUGCUGAAUCUAGGGGAGGGGGCGAAGCGAGGCAUUUGUCCCCCUGGACU
This is a non-coding RNA of Cinara cedri, 384 nucleotides long. The record is from the annotation of a GenBank genome assembly. NCBI's taxonomy places the organism in Eukaryota, Metazoa, Arthropoda, Insecta, Hemiptera, Aphididae.